Molecule: long non-coding RNA, 4193 nt
Organism: Oreochromis niloticus (Nile tilapia)
Lineage: Eukaryota; Metazoa; Chordata; Actinopteri; Cichliformes; Cichlidae
Exons: 3
Source: RefSeq, a predicted model, not a curated record
UGUAAAAGCUAGUGUCUCGUGAGAAUACCCUUAACGAGAGUACACGAGACUUUCAUGGACUGCGAGGGAGCAGAUGUCUCUCAUGAAGCGAUUUUAAGCUAAAGGUUUACUAAAAGAAAAAGCAACACAAGGACUUAAGGACCUCUUUUCAGGACAAGCAGCCAACGAGUUCUCACGGCGUAUUGGCGUAUCGGCGUACUGGUGAUGAACAAACAAGGAUAAAGAGUUUUCCCCCGAUGGAGCCAGGUGGAUGUCGAUUUCCUCUCACGCUAAUCACACUUUGGAAAGCGACACGAGAGUUAGCACAGAUGAGUGACAACUCCCCCGCCGUCCUAGACAUACGGGUGGGAGGGGACCAGUUUACACCCAGCACCCAGGAGAUCAGUCAGCUCUCCCAGCGGGAGCCCCGCUGAGCGUCUCCCAGAUUUGGUGAGACAGGGAGGCUUUCACGGCGACUGUGAGAGGAAAUUCCGAGGCUUGUUUCACAAUAGGAAAUAGGACGAAGUUUACUUCAGGGGAUGGAGCUCAGAAAAACCCACCUACACUCACUUUGCUAAUCUCCUAAGGCUGAUGUGAAUCUUAACCAUGUGAAAUUCUCAGUUUGCAUUAAAGUCAGUGGCAUUAAAUAAGUUUGUGAAGACAGGAUGUUUCAAGGGCGGUCUGUAUAUGUUCCUUUUUACUGUGAUAUAUGAUGAUCAGAAACUGGAGUUCUAAAGUUUAGCCUUAUUGCUGUUUUACUUGCACUGUUAAAGCUACAGUCAUGGUGUGCAUACGGCAAGCCAACCUGUCUGCUCAGUUACCACAGUAGAUUUUUACAGAGGAGAAACUUGGACUGCCAAGGACUUAAAUUCACAAGAAUAACAUUGAGAAUCUGCAGCAUGUUUAAAAAAAAAAUACCACUCACAGUUUUAACAAGCUUCAUGUUAGGAAGCACUCUGUACAAAAGCAAUCUACCAUUUUCUUUAACAACUUUCAUUGCUUUGUGGUAGGUGUUUGUUAGUACCUGCAAUCUUGGAUCCAUCAUAGAGGAAUCCCAGAGCGUGCAAUAAUGCUGCUUUCCUCCUCACAAAGUCUAAUCGUCCUAUCCGACCAGUGUAACAGCUUUUUAUCACCAGACUUUUUAUCAUGUUGGUAUACUAAUUUUAAAGAAAAUCUGCUUUUGUUUCUUGUUUUACUCUUCAGGCGUCUGUUGCCUGCCCUCCCCUGAGUGCCUUGAUAAAGUGACUUUCUUGUAUUCAGUAAAAGCCUUUGUUGGGUCUUCACUGGUGAACUUUUGCUUUGUGUUCUGUUGCUAUCAUUAGAGGUUUGCAUCAUAACCACCAUUGGCUAUCACCUGUGUGGACAAAAAUGAUUAUAAAAACACACAAUUACCGUUGAUAUUCACUCAGCGUUGGGCAGUAUGGGUUUGCCACAGCAGAUACUUGAUCCUGUGCUCUAUAUUCUCCUUUACAUUUUCAUACUCGUUAUCAUCAUGGGACCCUUGAACGUCCUACUGAAUGUCUGACUAAUGAAAUUUCUUCUUUAUGGCAGGGUUAGGCAGAAUCCAUUAGAGGAUUUACUGACUGACACCCAAACACUGCUGAAUCAAAUCCUAAUCCCAUAUUGGUCUAAGCCUUGGUAAUAUUCUUUUCAUAUAGCUCCCUUCAUAUUUCUUCCACUCUCGAGUCUCAGAUAUAUGUCACAGUUCUUAACAGAGAAGAAGCAUGCUGUAAAAACUGUCACUUUAUCAAAUCAUCCAAACCUCAACAGAUGGAUUUACUUGAUUAAUUAUGCAGCAUCCAAAUAGCCCUCUGAUGAAGUUAUUCCUGUUAUAUGCAUCAUAAGUACUCUGAGUCUGAUUUUAAUACAAGUAAAUAUUCAUGUUUAUAUUCGACAGCAAAACAACUACUUUCACGAUUCGGAAAUACGGAAACGUUUCAGACAACAAACCAAGUAAGAUAUAGUGAUCGAAAUGCUAUUACAAACUACUAUAUAUUAGAGACAGGAGAAAGAAACCACAAAACAAAAAGAAAGUAAAAAGAAGAAGUAGGUUUGUCUACAAAGGUGCUAAUUUGUUGAUUGCACAUUUUGAAUGAAGAACGUUUCUAAACUCUGCCUCUUGGCAGUAAUCAGGAAAACUUGUGAAAGUUAUGACAGAGUUGCCCAGAGAGUAAAAGAAAGAAGAGAUGGCGACCCUGGCCUGACUUUAUGUAUCAGUGCAACUUUAAAUUAUAUUGACAUAAAGUGUAAUGUCUCAUCCUACAUAAAGUGUGAAAAUAUGUCUAUAUACCUUAAAAACUCUUUAUACUGCUCAGCACUCCCUUUUACCAAUAUAUCUCAUUACUCUGUGAUCCCACUGAGGGCAAUCUGGGGGUAGUUUGUGAUAGAGAGAUGUCUACUCCCACUUCCUAGAAUGCUUUUCACCACUGCUUUUUAAGCUUGUUGCCUAUAGUCUUACGGGGGUUUGUUAGCAAAUAAAUGCAGUAUAUCAUUUCUCAUGAGCCAAGCUGUCUGUGAACACUGGGGUGUGUCUGCAGUCUGGCUGGUGCUCAAAAUGACAAUUGCCUUAUGGUUGCAUUGCUUUCUAGUUCAGCGAGGUUACUGUCGGAGGUAAAGGUAUCUACCAUUAAGGAAUAUUAUUGUUUGUAUUUAUUUUUUUGGUAUGACUGUUUAACAUUGGUCCAAAAUGGUAAAGCUAAUUAGGGCUGACUGCUAAAAUGUGACAUGCAAAUAGCUGCUAACAACAUUUUUUAAUGAUGGGAUGGGAAUAAUCUAUUAAAAAAAAAGUCUUGUCCUUGGUUGUAACACAAAACACAUUGGAGAUAUACAUGGUCCUCCCUGAGCAUCUCUUGCUCAAGGGCAUUGUCAGCUUUAUCAGAGCCUAGUGAUUCAUCAGGCUAGUUGGUAAAUAAGAGAUGUUAUCAGGUGCUCCUUGUGGCAUUGAGGGCUCAUGUCCUAAUCAAUAACAUUCCAAUUCUUCACUGAUCUCCUCCUCUGAUUAGCCGAACUAAUCCAAUACACAAUGUUGCUGUCUAUUACUGAGGCAGGACAAAGCCUUCCCGUUCAGACUGCCCUUAUCUGUGCUUUUGCGUUUACUACUGAUAUAAGGUGGGUAUAAGCCAAGGGCUACUGCGAGGACAUCCUCAGGCUCUCCUAAUUGUUAAUCCACUUGGGCCAGCAGGUAGAAAGGAAAUCUCACUUGGCCUGGCAGCACCACGGGCAGUUAAGUGAGAUGACUGUAGUGAGAGCUAACCAAUCGCCACCCAGAGACAUAGUAAGUCAAGAUAAAAUGGCCUGUAAUUUUUCUAACUCCCUUAAAAGGAAAUGGAAGAUAGCAAAGUGCCAUGGAUAAUGAAAGAGGUUGGAAAAAGGAGGGGCGGUUUGGACUGUCAGUCAGUAAAGAGUGGCGAUGGCAGCAGGCACUUACUGACGUGGGGAUGCUGAUGAACAAGCCGAGCCUAAUUUGAGUUAAUGAAUAUGAAAUAUGCAUCAGUUUUCACUCUCAAAAUGAUAUGCAGUAAGCAUAACUGAUGAAAGAGGAAAUGAACAGCAUUAACUAGUCAGACUUUAAAGCAUCUAAAGAGAACAUAAUACAUACAGUAUUAGCCUAUAGACCUCUGAAUUACAAAGUCCACACUCUAGGUGUGUGUGCGUGUGUAUGUCUAUCUAUCUAUCUGUCUAUCUGUUUUUUUUUUCUCACGUACUUAGUCUCAGAUAUAUUGAUAGAAUACAAGGCAUGAAAGACAGUUGUAAAAAUUAGACAGCUGCUCCAACUUAUCUAGCCCUUAACAGAUGGAUUCACUUGACUAAUUAUGUGUUCAAACAAUCCUCUGAUGAAGUGACUGAUAUCAAACACAACAUAAAUACUCUGAAUGUAAUUUUAAUGGAAACAGAAGUCUGUGAUUUUAUUAACAGUAAAGACGGUGUCUUGAAACCUAAACAUAUACCAUCAGAAUAGCUGUAGUUACAUAAAACCCAUGGAGGUUUUAAAUUAUUCAUAGAUUUCCUGGAGGUACAUGAAGGUCAUUGGAAAAGACCUCACUGAGUCCUAAAUUCCUGUUAUGAGUUCCUUCUAACCACCCAUUUCUAUUAUUGAGGAGAUAAGUCUUUUUAAAUAGUACCAUACUGUCCAGUAAUUUAAGGUUCACAUAGGCAAGAUCUACAAGUUCGAGGCUUCCAGUGUUGAUUUUCUCCUAAAAAUUUAGGCUACGUCC